AAUCAAUCAUAAUAGCAAUGACUCAAUGUUUUCCUUUGAGGAGCGUUGGAUUGGUCUAUUGCGAAGGAGAUCAUGCCUCCUUCGUGACUUCGCUAGGGUACCAGAACUAAACAGAGGAGAGGGAGCCUCGGCUGAAAAAAGGUAAGUAAAUUGCACUUGGGGGAACCUGUAAAGGAAUAGAGAAUGUGCUCAGCCACGGUAUUUCUGGACUGCAGGCUCCUCAAAGAAGAUCCCUCCAGGGUCUACCUGCCUGUUCCAAAGUUGAUUGUGAUCUGUGCUGGGCUUUGCAAGCUGCCCAACAACAAUCACAGUGUAAUCAGUUGGAAAGCAGUCUCCAUUUAGAAUGACAUAGAAUGUAAUUAUGAAAACAGCCAGUAGAGGGCAGUCACACAGCAUGCUCUACUGUUUUAAUUCUGAUAUCAGAAUUUAUAUUACCAGAGGGUUUCCUUAGUGUUAGGGUUAGUGAUGGGGUUAAGGUAGAGUUAUAUUUAGGGUAAGGGUAUGGUUGGGUUAGAGUUAGGGUAGGGUUAGCUAGUGUAGAGUGUUAGGUUAAGGUUUGGGUUAAUGCUGUUUUAGGGUUAGGGAUAGUAUAGGGUUAAAGGGACAUUAUAGUCACCAGAACAACUACAGUUUAUUGUAUUUGUUCUGGUGAGUAGAAUCAUUACCUUCAGGCUUUUUGCUGUAAACACUGUCUUUUCAGAGAAAAUGCAGUGUUUACAUUACAGCCUAGUGAUAACGCCACUGGCCACUCCUUAGAUAGCUGUUAGAGAUCCUUCCUGGGUCAUGGCUGCCUAAAAUGCAUCCAAACAUUCAGUAUCUUCUUCCUCUGCAUGCAGACACUGAACUUUCCUCAUAGAGAUUCAUUGAUUCAAUUCAUCUCUAUCAGGAGAUGCUGAUUGGCCAGGGCUGUGUUUGAAUUGUGCUGGCUCCUUGUCAGUCUCAGCCAAUCCAAUGGGGAAGCAUUGUGAUUGGAUCAGGCCACCACUUCUAAUGAUGUCAGACGAAGUUCACAGGCCGAGGCAGCGGCUUCAGACUUGAAUACAAGUAAGAUUUUACUAGAUCGUAGUUUUAACACUAUGGGGUCAGGAAUAUGUUUGUGUUCCUGACCCUAUAGUGCUCCUUUAAGGUUAGGAUAGGUAUUAGUGUAAGCAUGGGGUUAGAGUUGGUAUAGCAUUAGGUGAGGGUUGUUAAGGUGUUAACAUUAAUUGCUAAAAAUCAAUUUAGAUCCCAGAUGUAUGAGGCUAAGAAUAUGUUUGAAUUCUUAACACUAUUGUGUUUAUGUUUUGUAUAGUAUGACUAUAUUAGAAGCAAAGCAGCUUGCAUUAGAAUAAGACACCCAGACAGUCAUGUAGCUCACAGUUUCAAGUGUACUUUUGAUUUAAUAGUUAUAAUUUUUACCAUUUGGGAUAUCAAAUUUGAGUGCAGUUGCUUAUUAAAAACACACACACUUACAGACUGUAUUCAGACUGUUACUGUAAAGUUUGAUUUGUUAAUGGUACACUGUGAUUUGAGGCAUACAGGUGAGAGAUAGUUCUCAGAGUUCCCAUGGUUUCAGACGUAUUCUUAUGCUUCUAACGUACGCGUUUUUGUUUAAAUCAGAAUCUGAUUGCUUGCCCUUGUUACGGACCUAUUUUCUCUGAAUUCCAGAGCUUAACGGACUAUCUAGUCUUCUAUGACUACUUGCUUUUGUCCACACUAGCUGGUAGCAAAGUCCCAGUUGGUCAACAAUAGUCCAAUGGCUCAACUUGUGUAGAAGGUAGCUAAGGCAAAGAAUCCAAAGGUGAACUUAGUCCACAGUGUUAAUGUCACAGCGUUUUGGACAAGUCCUGUUGUGGUUCAUUCUGCUUUGUUCAAUCAUUUUUUUUCUUAUUGUUGCAUUUUCGGUCUGUCUGAUAUGUCUCCUUUCAGUUGGGCUGUCAAAAAGCCCUAAUAUCUUGGCUUACCCCCCCCCCCCCCUUAAGAAAUACAAAUUAUGGUACAGAAAUUUGAUUUCAAAAACUGUACAGCUGAGAUUUGCCCACCUUUAUCAAUUCAGCAGCAAAUGGUAACAGAAUAAACACACAGACGAAAUCCUUGCUUUAUGAGAUACAUCCCAAAUAAAGGGAAGAAAUAAUAAUAGAAAAUAAUCAGGUGUAGUUCAGAUCAGGGAGAUAACAUAUGAUAUAUAUCAAAUGCAAAUACAAAGAAACAAGUCCUGCGCUCAAACUCCCAUUACUCCUGGGCGACAGCAACGACCAUAGUACACAUCAGCCAAAAUACAUAUUGUAAAAACCAAAGAAAAUAGUUGGGCAUACCCUAAAAACCUCCAUUUGUUUAAAAAUACAUAGGGAUGUGGAAAGAGCGCAGGUAACUUUUUUCCCCUUUGGUUUUUAAUAUGUGUUUUGGCUGAUGUGUACUAUGGUCGUUGCUGCCACCCAGGAGUAAUUGGUGUUUGAGCGCAGGACUUGUUUCUUUGUAUUCACUUUUUGUAUCACACAGCUAGGUUACAUUGCUGCUGCCCAUUCCAAGUGUUCCCUAUUAAGGGUUAAUAAGCAUGUAGGGAUGUAUAUAAAAAAUACCCCUUUCUGUCUCUUUGGAGAUAUUUUUGCCAGAAGCUCAAGGAAGUAAGGUGAAUGGUAAGAGUUAUGACCCCACCUAAGAGAUAUAUCAAAUGCAGGUUAUAUCAGGAUGGACAAUAAAAAUAAUAAACAACUUUAUUUUUAACACUUAUGACAGUUAUUAGGAAGAAUGAUUGUAAAAACUAGAUACAGUGUAUGUUAGUACUGAUAACUAGCCAAAGUAUUAUAAAUUAGAUGUGGUUUCGACUAGAACUGACACUAUUACAAAGUAUUACAAAUCAUGUAUUAAACUGACACCUUAACACUUGGAGUCCAGAAUUUACGCACAGAUGUUAUAAAACUGAUGUAGGUUGCAUUAGGCUUGAUACCAUGCCAAAAUACAAUAUCAGCCCAGGUAAUAUAUUAGACCAGAAAAAAUGUAUUACAAAUUAGAUGUGGGUUAAAAAGUAAUAUAAAUCUGAUUAUAAAGGAUAUUGUGAUAAAAUAGCAGAUGUCACAAAGAUAAAGCACAGAAACAGUGAAAGCAUUUAUUUAAAAAAAAAAAAAAUAAAAAAUAAAAUUUGAUUUAGACCUGGGCCCAUGAUAAACCAUAGUACCAUAAAUCAAAUGCCUUUGCGUUAGGCUGGAUGCUAUGAUAAAGUGAUAUAAAUCAAACAAGUGAAGAUUAAAAUGGACAACGUGCCAUAAUAUCGUAUAUCAGAUACAGUGUAGUUUAGGAUGGCACAGAAAAAAAAAAAUUACAUAUGUAGUGUAGUCUACGAUUGAUACAACGGAAAAAUUAUAAAUUAGAUAUAGCUCUGCAGUGGGUAAGAUAGCUCAUUUGGUUAGUGUACUUGCUUUGGCACUUCCAAACAACAGGGUCAUAUUCAAAGUUGUAUAAAUAUACAUAAGUUAGGGGAUUUGCUUCUUAACACCUUAAUGGGUUGAAAAAUUACAGGUCCCUUAUGACAUUUCUUACCAAUUGUCUACACUGGACAAUGCUCACAAAACGAAUCAAUAACUAGAUAGAACUGGGUCCAUAAAAUAAAUGUACACUUACAUAUUUAUAAACUAGAUCAGGGGUGCACAAAAGGUAGGUCCCCAUAUGUUGUAGAACUAAAACUCCCAUGAUGCUUUGUGUGCCUUGAGAAUGACAAAGUAAAUGGAAGUUGUUGGUUUUAAUACAUCUGGGGGACCUACCCUUUGGGCACCCCUAUGCUAGAUAGAAGCUACACAUUUCUCAAAAUAUUCAGUUUCACAAAAUAUUCUAUUUUUAUACAUAUCCAUGUACUAAACAAGGAAGUAAAUUAAUGUUUCUUGAAAGUUACAAGGAAAUUACUGUUAAAUGUAAAUCAUUUUUUAGAGGUAAAAGUAAUUGUACUUAAACUAUGCAACAUAAUGUUUAAUAUAGUCUGUUUUUCACCCCCCUCUGUUUCUCUUUAUUGCUGACACUAUUCCCUUGUUAUAUUUUCCACUCCCUUCCCCCACAACCUAGUCAGUACAUUACAGGAUGAAUGGGCCUUGUCAGGAAACAAUUCCAGGAGGUUCUGGCUGAAGAGGCUGCAGCCUAAUAUCCCAGACCCGGCAUGCAUUACAAUUAACGCAUGUCACACAUUGCUCUCGUCAGGGACAGAGUGUGAUGCUCCUUAAUCUGCAUAAGAUGGAGACAGGACACAACCUAGUAACACAUGUGGAACAUCUAAAAUAGACUUUCAUUGAUAUGAAAGCAGGAAUUGUGGAUACAUUUUAAACUGAAGGCCAAAAUAGUCAAUGCUGUUAUUAAAAAAUAAUUAACAUUGGUUUGUAUGUUAUAUUCUUACAUCUAUUUUCUUCCUAAGCACUGUCUCACAAACCUGUAUACCCCCAUUCACAUGUGAACUGUGUGUUUCUGUAAUUACACACACUAUUUUUUUUUAUAUAGAGUCACUGUCAUUUUCUCUCCAUAAAUCAGUUUAAAACAAUA
RNAcentral lists this long non-coding RNA (4500 nucleotides) under Pelobates cultripes (western spadefoot toad). Lineage: Eukaryota; Metazoa; Chordata; Amphibia; Anura; Pelobatidae. The record is from RNAcentral.